Molecule: transfer RNA, 78 nt
Filed under: Polyangiaceae bacterium
Lineage: Bacteria; Pseudomonadati; Myxococcota; Polyangiales; Polyangiaceae
Description: tRNA-Trp
Rfam family: tRNA (bases 11-68)
About the family: Transfer RNA (tRNA) molecules are approximately 80 nucleotides in length. Their secondary structure includes four short double-helical elements and three loops (D, anti-codon, and T loops).
Source: RNAcentral
CACAGGGGACUAGCUCAGUUGGUAGAGCAGCGGAUUCCAAAUCCGCAGGUCGUGGGUUCGAGUCCCUCCGCCCGUGCU